RNAcentral lists this ribosomal RNA (497 nucleotides) under uncultured bacterium. RNAcentral's name for it is "partial 16S ribosomal RNA". It matches the Rfam family "Bacterial small subunit ribosomal RNA", at positions 28 to 523 of the family's 1533-position model. The record is from RNAcentral.
GACGAACGCUGGCGGCGUGCUUAACACAUGCAAGUCGAACGGAGCACCCUUGACUGAGGUUUCGGCCAAAUGAUAGGAAUGCUUAGUGGCGGACUGGUGGGUAACGCGUGAGGAACCUGCCUGUCAGAGGGGGACAACAGUUGGAAACGACUGCUAAUUCCGCAUGACGCAUUGUGAUCGCAUGGUCGAAAUGCCAAAGAUUUAUCGCUGAAAGAUGGCCUCGCGUCUGAUUAGCUAGUUGGUGAGGUAACGGCCCACCAAGGCGACGAUCAGUAGCCGGACUGAGAGGUUGACCGGCCACAUUGGGACUGAGAUACGGCCCAGACUCCUACGGGAGGCAGCAGUGGGGAAUAUUGGGCAAUGGGCGCAAGCCUGACCCAGCAACGCCGCGUGAAGGAAGAAGGCUUUCGGGUUGUAAACUUCUUUUAAGUGGGAAGAGCAGAAGACGGUACCACUUGAAUAAGCCACGGCUAACUACGUGCCAGCCGCCGCAGUAA